Juglans microcarpa x Juglans regia is the source of this 664-nucleotide long non-coding RNA. RefSeq lists it as uncharacterized. NCBI's taxonomy places the organism in Eukaryota, Viridiplantae, Streptophyta, Magnoliopsida, Fagales, Juglandaceae. The transcript has 3 exons. The record is from RefSeq and is a predicted model, not a curated record.
UGCAAAGGGAGAAAGUUCCCGAGGAAAAGGUGUUGGACGAGGUAUUCGGGCCAGACGAUUUGUCCCAUACUCAUGUAGAGCCCGUCGACCCCAAGGGGCUCGUAUCAGUUCAUACCAUAGCUCAACUUCAGAUGCGGAUCAGUCAGGCUAGGAUGACUCAACGCAGCCUCCUUGUCAUCCAUGGGAGCCUCCAUGUCCCAUUCCUCAGCCCCCAUCCCAUGCCCAUAGAGAAUCCUUACCUGUGAGAGAACCUGAACCGAACAGAGAAGAUAUCGAUGUAGCCGCCCCCACAGUGCCUACAGCUACCCAGGAACAACCCAAACGUAGGCGUGGGCCUGCUAAGUGCACUGAGUUCGAGAAGUUGAGAACGUACGAAAAAGUGCCGUUGAAGAUUAAUGGCGGCGAGUCGGCACCGUGUUGUCAGAACGCAUCCAUGUUCACGACACGGGUAACGCAAAUAGUUAAACAGCACUGUGACAUGAGUUAUGCUAGAUGGACCGAUGUGCCGCAGGCUCAAAAGGACGAGUUGAUUGAACGUGUUCGGGGUGACUUCGUGUUAGAUUGGGAUAUGGCGAAUCAUAGAUUAACAGUCUUAAAGCAGCAACGUAAGCGGUUCAAUUCAUUCCAUCACGAAUUACACAAAAAAUAUUUCUCAUACAAAAGU